Molecule: ribosomal RNA, 460 nt
Filed under: uncultured bacterium
Lineage: Bacteria
Description: partial 16S ribosomal RNA
Rfam family: Bacterial small subunit ribosomal RNA
Source: RNAcentral
CCUACGGGCGGCAGCAGUGAGGAAUAUUGGUCAAUGGACGAGAGUCUGAACCAGCCAAGUAGCGUGAAGGAUGACUGCCCUAUGGGUUGUAAACUUCUUUUAUAUGGGAAUAAAAUGUUCCACGUGUGGGAGUUUGUAUGUACCAUGUGAAUAAGGAUCGGCUAACUCCGUGCCAGCAGCCGCGGUAAUACGGAGGGUCCGGACGUUAUCCGGAGUUAUUGGGUUUAAAGGGAGCGUAGGUGGAUUGUUAAGUCAGUUGUGAAAGUUUGCGGCUCAACCGUAAAAUUGCAGUUGAAACUGGCAGUCUUGAGUAGAGUAGAGGUGUGCGGAAUGCGUGGUGUAGCGGUGAAAUGCUUAGAUAUCACGAAGAACUCCGAUUGCGAAGGCAGCUCACUGGACUGCAACUGACACUGAGGCUCGAAAGUGUGGGUAUCAAACAGGAUUAGAUACCCUUGUAGUC